Molecule: transfer RNA, 110 nt
Filed under: Penicillium brasilianum
Lineage: Eukaryota; Fungi; Ascomycota; Eurotiomycetes; Eurotiales; Aspergillaceae
Description: tRNA-Ser
Rfam family: tRNA
About the family: Transfer RNA (tRNA) molecules are approximately 80 nucleotides in length. Their secondary structure includes four short double-helical elements and three loops (D, anti-codon, and T loops).
Source: RNAcentral
GUCAGUUUGGCCGAGUGGUCUAAGGCGCUUGACUUGAACUUUGGGGAAACCCUUCCAUGUUUGGGCAUCAAGUAUCUUCGGAUGCACAGGUUCGAACCCUGUAGCUGACG